Molecule: ribosomal RNA, 253 nt
Filed under: uncultured bacterium
Lineage: Bacteria
Also listed under: 1 other name
Description: partial 16S ribosomal RNA
Rfam family: Bacterial small subunit ribosomal RNA
Source: RNAcentral
UACGGAGGGUGCAAGCGUUAUCCGGAUUCACUGGGUUUAAAGGGAGCGCAGGCGGAUUGGUAAGUCAGUGGUGAAAGGCUUGAGCUUAACUCGGGAACUGCCAUUGAUACUAUCAGUCUUGAAUAUUGUUGAGGUUUGCGGAAUGGGUCAUGUAGCGGUGAAAUGCAUAGAUAUGACCCGGAACACCUAUUGCGAAGGCAGCAGGCUAAACAAAGAUUGACGCUGAGGCUCGAAAGCGUGGGGAUCAAACAGG